RNAcentral lists this ribosomal RNA (445 nucleotides) under uncultured bacterium. RNAcentral's name for it is "bacterial SSU rRNA". It matches the Rfam family "Bacterial small subunit ribosomal RNA", at positions 331 to 793 of the family's 1533-position model. The record is from RNAcentral.
CCAGACUCCUACGGGAGGCAGCAGUGGGGAAUAUUGCACAAUGGGGGAAACCCUGAUGCAGCGACGCCGCGUGAGUGAAGAAGUAAUUCGUUAUGUAAAGCUCUAUCAGCAGGGAAGAAAAUGACGGUACCUGAGUAAGAAGCCCCGGCUAACUACGUGCCAGCAGCCGCGGUAAUACGUAGGGGACAAGCGUUAUCCGGAUUUACUGGGUGUAAAGGGAGCGUAGACGGUCCUGCAAGCCAGAUGUGAAAGCCCGGGGCUCAACCCCGGGACUGCAUUUGGAACUGUAAGGCUAGAGUGUCGGAGAGGCAGGCGGAAUUCCUAGUGUAGCGGUGAAAUGCGUAGAUAUUAGGAAGAACACCAGUGGCGAAGGCGGCCUGCUGGACGACAACUGACGGUGAGGCGCGAAAGCGUGGGGAGCAAACAGGAUUAGAUACCCGCGUAC